RNAcentral lists this ribosomal RNA (466 nucleotides) under uncultured bacterium. Its description in RNAcentral is "partial 16S ribosomal RNA". It matches the Rfam family "Bacterial small subunit ribosomal RNA", at positions 28 to 507 of the family's 1533-position model. The record is from RNAcentral.
GAUGAACGCUGGCGGCGUGCUUAACACAUGCAAGUCGAACGGAAAGGCUCCUGCUUGCAGGGGUACUCGAGUGGCGAACGGGUGAGUAACACGUGGGUGAUCUGCCCUGCACUUCGGGAUAAGCUUGGGAAACUGGGUCUAAUACCGGAUAGGACCGCAUUUUGGAUGGUGUGGUGGAAAGUUUUUUCGGUGUGGGAUGAGCUCGCGGCCUAUCAGCUUGUUGGUGGGGUAAUGGCCUACCAAGGCGUCGACGGGUAGCCGGCCUGAGAGGGUGUACGGCCACAUUGGGACUGAGAUACGGCCCAGACUCCUACGGGAGGCAGCAGUGGGGAAUAUUGCACAAUGGGCGCAGGCCUGAUGCAGCGACGCCGCGUGGGGGAUGACGGCCUUCGGGUUGUAAACUCCUUUCGCUAGGGACGAAGAGUAAUUGACGGUACCUGGAGAAGAAGCACCGGCUAACUGCGUG